CACUUCUAAGGAAGGCAGCAGGCGCGCAAAUUACCCAAUCCUGACUCAGGGAGGUAGUGACAAGAAAUAACAAUAAACCGGCUUAUGCCGGUUUAAUUGGAAUGAGUACAAUUUAAACAUCUUAACGAGGAACAAUUGGAGGGCAAGUCUGGUGCCAGCAGCCGCGGUAAUUCCAGCUCCAAUAGCGUAUACUAAAGUUGUUGCGGUUAAAAAGCUCGUAGUUGGAUUUCUGUGGGGACGGAGCGGCCGGCCGCAACACGCGGUUCGAGCUAGCGCUUUCCCUACAUCCUGCCGCGAACCGUGCUACCAUUAAUUUGGUGGCGCCGGGGAUCGGCUCGAUUACUUUGAGAAAAAUAGAGUGUUCAAAGCAGGCCACGUGCCUUGAAUAAGUUAGCAUGGAAUAAUAACUAAGGACUUCGGUUCUAUUUUGUUGGUGUUCGGGACUGAAGUAAUGAUUGAUAGGGACAGUUGGGGCGGUCUGUAUUCCAAAGCGAGAGGUGAAAUUCUUAGACCUUCGGAAGACAAACAGCUGCGAAAGCGUUCCGCAAGGAUGUUCCCUUUGAUCAAGAACGAAAGUUGGGGGAUCGAAGACGAUCAGAUACCGUCGUAGUCUCAACUAUAAACUAUACCAGCUAGGGAUCGGCCAACGUUAUUUUAUACCGACUUGGUCGGCACCUUAUGAGAAAUCAAAGCAUCUGGGUUCCGGGGGGAGUAUGGUCGCAAGGCUGAAACUUAAAGGAAUUGACGGAAGGGCACCACCAGCCGUGGAGCCUGUGGCUUAAUUUGACUCAACACGGGAAAACUUACCAGGUCCAGACAUAGUAAGGAUUGACAGAUUGAUAGCUCUUUCUUGAUUCUGUGGGUGGUGGUGCAUGGCCGUUCUUAGUUGGUGGAGUGAUUUGUCUGGUUAAUUCCGUUAACGAACGAGACCCCAGCCUGCUAAAUAGCGCGCGUGAGCUUUGCUCGCGGCGAGCUUCUUAGAGGGACUCUGAUGCGCGAUAGCACAUGGAAGUUUGGGGCAAUAACCGGUCUGUGAUGCCCUUAGAUGUUCUGGGCCGCACACGGGCUACACUGGCGCCUGCAACGAGCAUAUCAGCUGGCCCGAGAGGGUCUUGGCUAAUCUUUUGAACCGGCGCCGUGCUUGGGAUUGACCUUUGCAAUUGUUGGUCAUGCAACGAGGAAUGCCUUGUAAACGCGAGUCAUCAGCUCGCAUUGAAUACGUCCCUGCCCUUUGUACACACCGCCCGUCGCUCCUACCGAUGAAUG
This 1266-nucleotide ribosomal RNA is filed under the name uncultured marine eukaryote. RNAcentral describes it as "SSU rRNA". It matches the Rfam family "Eukaryotic small subunit ribosomal RNA", at positions 411 to 1695 of the family's 1831-position model. The record is from RNAcentral.